RNAcentral lists this small RNA (114 nucleotides) under Marmota monax (woodchuck). The record is from RNAcentral. Lineage: Eukaryota; Metazoa; Chordata; Mammalia; Rodentia; Sciuridae.
GCUGGGCAUGGUGGCAAAUGCCUGUAGUCCCAGCUACUUAGGUGGCUGAGGCAGAAGGAUCUUGAACCAGGAAUUUGAGGCAAGCCUGGGCAACAUAAGGAGACCCUACCUUAA